CUGAAAGCAUCUAAGCGGGAAGCCUGCUUCGAGAUGAGGACUCCCACCCACUUGAUGGGGUAAGGCUCCCAGUAGACGACUGGGUUGAUAGGCCGGAUCUGGAAGCCAGGUAACUGGUGGAGGUGACCGGUACUAAUAGGCCGAGGGCUUGUCCUCAGUUG
RNAcentral lists this ribosomal RNA (161 nucleotides) under Streptomyces sp. SID6137. RNAcentral's name for it is "partial 23S ribosomal RNA". It matches the Rfam family "Bacterial large subunit ribosomal RNA", at positions 2771 to 2925 of the family's 2925-position model. Lineage: Bacteria; Bacillati; Actinomycetota; Actinomycetes; Kitasatosporales; Streptomycetaceae. The record is from RNAcentral.